GGAGGGGGCAAGCGUUAUUCGGAUUUACUGGGCGUAAAGCGCACGUAGGUGGCAUGGUAAGUCAAAGGUGAAAGCCCUCGGCUCAACCGAGGAAUUGCCUUUGAAACUGCUUUGCUUGAGUCCGGGAGGGGGGAGCGGAAUUCCCAGUGUAGCGGUGAAAUGCGUAGAUACUGGGAGGAACACCGGUGGCGAAGGCGGCUCCCUGGACCGGUACUGACACUGAGGUGCGAAAGCGUGGGUAGCAAACAGGAUUAGAUACCCUGGGUAGUCCACGCCGUAAACGAUGGGCACUAGGUGCAGCGGGUGUCGACCCCCCUGCUGUGCCGUAGCUAACGCAUUAAGUGCCCCGCCUGGGGAGUACGGUCGCAAGGCUG
RNAcentral lists this ribosomal RNA (374 nucleotides) under uncultured organism. RNAcentral's name for it is "partial 16S ribosomal RNA". It matches the Rfam family "Bacterial small subunit ribosomal RNA", at positions 527 to 896 of the family's 1533-position model. The record is from RNAcentral.